CACGAACUUCAAAGGUUGGACUGAGACGACUACUAGCUAAUAUCGGAGACAAAUUCACAUCUAUCCAUUUAUUAGUAAAGCUUGGGAAAUGUUCGUCUGAAAUUGCGUAAUGCGCAACAUUGAAAUUACGAUAAACAAUCAAUAGUGGCUCGAAUCAAAUCUAGACAACGUUCGUCGUGGCAGCUUUAUUUGGCAAAGAUGAAGGCGAAUUCCGACAAACCGGACAAGAGUUAUGCAACUUGAGCCACGGGUCGAUGCAUUCGGUGUGGAAGCAAUGUUCACAUUCGGGACGAGAGGGUUACCAGAAUCAACGUAUGUGAAGCAUUUGACUUUGAGGAUGGUAUUGUUUAUGAAGCUACAUAACGGACUAAAAUCAACACAACCUGUGCAAUCCGGUGAGUCCCAUUUCAGCCAGAGGUCUUGUUUGUUGAGAUCACCUGCGAGUGGUGAAGAGACCGGAAGAAGUAGUGUCUUCAAGGUUUGACAAGAGGACGGCAUUGAACCGGUGAGAUCUGAAGGUGUGGAAUUAGUAAGGCAAUGGAUGGGUUCCAAAGAAGAGGAUUUGACGUUUUCGUUAUGACAGCUCAAGAAAGUGUAGUUGACAAGGUGAAGAGGAGAAAAAGGAGACAUUGAAGCGUCGAAGCUGAGAAGCCGUCUGGCUAAGCAGUUAUCGGGGUCUCUAAGGUGAAUACGCUGCGACUUUAUGUCUUGGACGAGAAAUCGUCUGGAAUUUGGAAGCUUUAAGGCUGUCUCACAAUGGAGGUUGAAUCCUGGGUAGUCACAUGACGAAGAUUGCUCAGGAGAUAGCCAGAAAGGGAAGCUAACGUCAAGGUUGUUUCCUCCACAUGAAGAACUGUAGCAACGUUUUGGUUUUGAGGCAUUUAGGAGAGGAAAGUAGAAGAAGAAGAAGAAAUAGAGAAGAAGAGGGAAUUGUUUUGAGAAAGUCAUAUUGUGGUAAGGCACUAAGGGAAUUGGAAUUUACAUACUUAUAGACAAUGGAAAAAGUCAUAGAACAGUAAAGCUUAUGUUUAUCUUUAUUUUACUGAAGAGGAGAAGGAUUUGUAUACCAGAAAUACUGACUAUGAGACAAUGCACUGUGAAAGAAUCAGAGAAGCUGCUGGGAGAUUCUGAUGGAAACAAUGUCACCGUCUGUUCCUGCUUUCAUUGUGUGGUACUUCACAAGGAUUCCUGCAAUUCAAAUAUCAACUGCAUGGGGUGCAAUAACUGCUUUAGGUUGGGAAUCAUCUGCCUCUCCGGUCCAAGACUUGAGGUUGAGAAUACCUAGACAGAUUUCAUGUGGAAAUGUAUGAGAGACAAAGGAGUAUGAUUCAAAGAGGAGUAAAGGAACAUAAAAGUAAGUAAUGAAGUUACCUGAGGAUGAAGAUUUUUUAAGGUGUUUG
Molecule: long non-coding RNA, 1400 nt
Filed under: Arabidopsis thaliana (thale cress)
Lineage: Eukaryota; Viridiplantae; Streptophyta; Magnoliopsida; Brassicales; Brassicaceae
Description: potential natural antisense gene, locus overlaps with AT5G36001. (AT5G36002)
Source: RNAcentral